UAAUAAUGACGUAAUGGGAUCGGUUUCAUUCGGAUAAAAAGGCCGUUUAUGAAACAAAUACUUUAUUUAUUUGUUUGUGAAAGAACGAGCUACUCUUCCAGGAUGAGAACUUUGAUUUUUUUCACGGUCCUUGCGUGUUUUGCUGCCACCAGCUCUCAGCGAAUUUCAUUCAUUGAGUGUGUGGACAACUGUAAUCGGGAUCAUAUCAGGUGUACCCUUUCCUGCAGACCGCCCAUCAGAGACAUUGACCGUUGUCUAGUAGAGUGUCAAGAACAAUUCAGUCGGUGCUUCGAUAGAUGUUGAACCAUUGUUUAAAGAUUCAGUGCGCGCUUUAUUCUUUGUCCAGCACCAGUAAAUAAAGAAAAAUGAAAUAAAGAAAUAUUA
Long non-coding RNA from Saccostrea cuccullata (small rock oyster), 384 nucleotides. RefSeq lists it as uncharacterized. The record is from RefSeq and is a predicted model, not a curated record. Lineage: Eukaryota; Metazoa; Mollusca; Bivalvia; Ostreida; Ostreidae. The transcript has 2 exons.